Molecule: ribosomal RNA, 459 nt
Filed under: uncultured bacterium
Lineage: Bacteria
Description: bacterial SSU rRNA
Rfam family: Bacterial small subunit ribosomal RNA
Source: RNAcentral
GAUGAACGCUGGCGGCGUGCUUAACACAUGCAAGUCGAACGUGAAGAAGCAGCAAUGUUUCUGAAAGUGGCGGACGGGUGAGUAACACGUGGGUGACCUGCCUUGCAGAGGGGGAUAACGAGGGGAAACCUUCGCUAAUACCGCAUAGGCUUACACCGAUGGGAAUGGUGUGGGUAAAACUGAGGUGCUGCAAGAGGGGCCUGCGUCCGAUUAGCUAGUUGGUGAGGUAAUGGCUCACCAAGGCGAUGAUCGGUAGCUGGUCUGAGAGGACGAUCAGCCACACGGGAACUGAGAAACGGUCCCGACUCCUACGGGGGGCAGCAGUGAGGAAUAUUGGGCAAUGGACGAAAGUCUGACCCAGCAACGCCGCGUGGAGGAUGAAGGUUUUUGGAUUGUAAACUCCUUUGUGGGGGAAGAGUGAGGACGGUACCCCAAGAAUAAGUCACGGCUAACUACGUG